Molecule: ribosomal RNA, 450 nt
Filed under: uncultured bacterium
Lineage: Bacteria
Description: partial 16S ribosomal RNA
Rfam family: Bacterial small subunit ribosomal RNA
Source: RNAcentral
GUGGGGAAUAUUGGACAAUGGGCGAAAGCCUGAUCCAGCCAUGCCGCGUGUGUGAAGAAGGUCUUCGGAUUGUAAAGCACUUUAAGUUGGGAGGAAGGGCAGUAAGUUAAUACCUUGCUGUUUUGACGUUACCGACAGAAUAAGCACCGGCUAACUUCGUGCCAGCAGCCGCGGUAAUACGAAGGGUGCAAGCGUUAAUCGGAAUUACUGGGCGUAAAGCGCGCGUAGGUGGUUUUGUAAGUUGGAGGUGAAAACCCCGGGCUCAACCUGGGAACUGCAUCCAAAACUGCAUGACUAGAGUACGGUAGAGGGUAGUGGAAUUUCCUGUGUAGCGGUGAAAUGCGUAGAUAUAGGAAGGAACACCAGUGGCGAAGGCGACUACCUGGACUGAUACUGACACUGAGGUGCGAAAGCGUGGGGAGCAAACAGGAUUAGAUACCCUAGUAGUCC